Molecule: transfer RNA, 74 nt
Filed under: Candidatus Woesearchaeota archaeon
Lineage: Archaea; Nanobdellati; Candidatus Woesearchaeota
Description: tRNA-His
Rfam family: tRNA
About the family: Transfer RNA (tRNA) molecules are approximately 80 nucleotides in length.
Source: RNAcentral
GCGAUAAUAGUGUAACCUGGUUAGCAUAGGAGACUGUGGAUCUUCUGGUCCGAGUUCAAAUCUCGGUUAUCGCC